UGGGGAAUAUUGCACAAUGGGCGCAAGCCUGAUGCAGCCAUGCCGCGUGUAUGAAGAAGGCCUUCGGGUUGUAAAGUACUUUCAGUCGGGAGGAAGGUGUCAAGGUUAAUAACCUUGGCAAUUGACGUUACCGACAGAAGAAGCACCGGCUAACUCCGUGCCAGCAGCCGCGGUAAUACGGAGGGUGCAAGCGUUAAUCGGAAUUACUGGGCGUAAAGCGCACGCAGGCGGUUGAUUGAGUCAGAUGUGAAAUCCCCGGGCUUAACCCGGGAAUUGGCUUUGAUAACGGUCAGGUAGAGUCUUGUAGAGGGGGGUAGAAUUCCAUGGGUAGGGGUGAAAAUGGUAGAGAUGUGGAGGAAUUCCGGUGGCGAAGGCGGCCCCCUGGACAAAGACUGACGCUCAGGUGCGAAAGCGUGGGGAGCAAACAGG
RNAcentral lists this ribosomal RNA (429 nucleotides) under Chloroflexota bacterium. Its description in RNAcentral is "Chloroflexi bacterium partial 16S ribosomal RNA". It matches the Rfam family "Bacterial small subunit ribosomal RNA", at positions 355 to 776 of the family's 1533-position model. The record is from RNAcentral. Lineage: Bacteria; Bacillati; Chloroflexota.